GACGAACGCUGGCGGCGUGCUUAACACAUGCAAGUCGAACGGUAAGGCCCUUCGGGGUACACGAGUGGCGAACGGGUGAGUAACACGUGGGUGAUCUGCCCUGCACUUCGGGAUAAGCCUGGGAAACUGGGUCUAAUACCGGAUAGGACUCCUGGCUUCAUGGUUGGGGGUGGAAAGCUUUUGCGGUGUGGGAUGGGCCCGCGGCCUAUCAGCUUGUUGGUGGGGUAAUGGCCUACCAAGGCGACGACGGGUAGCCGGCCUGAGAGGGUGACCGGGCACACUGGGACUGAGAUACGGCCCAGACUCCUACGGGAGGCAGCAGUGAGGAAUAUUGCACAAUGGGCGCAAGCCUGAUGCAGCGACGCCGCGUGAGGGAUGACGGCCUUCGGGUUGUAAACCUCUUUCAGCUAUGACGAAGCGCAAGUGACGGUAGUAGCAGAAGAAGGACCGGCCAACUACGUGCCAGCAGCCGCGGUAA
This 478-nucleotide ribosomal RNA is filed under the name uncultured bacterium. RNAcentral's name for it is "partial 16S ribosomal RNA". It matches the Rfam family "Bacterial small subunit ribosomal RNA", at positions 28 to 523 of the family's 1533-position model. The record is from RNAcentral.